CCCCUCACAGGGUUGUACCUGGAGAAUUUCCAGUACUUUACCAGUAUCGACUAUGAGAGGGAGAGCCAAGCAGAGGCAUACUCAUUCCAUUCCUAGCUUAGGUAGCGGCUAGUGAGUGGAAGGCAAUCCGCUACAAGU
Tachyglossus aculeatus (Australian echidna) is the source of this 138-nucleotide small nucleolar RNA. The record is from RefSeq and is a predicted model, not a curated record. Lineage: Eukaryota; Metazoa; Chordata; Mammalia; Monotremata; Tachyglossidae.